GAUGAAGAACGUAGCGAAAUGCGAUACGUAGUGUGAAUUGCAGAAUUCAGUGAAUUAUCGAAUCUUUGAACGCACAUUGCACCUCUCGGUAUUCCGGGAGGUAUGCCUGUUCGAGCGUCAUUUGUACCCUCAAGCUCUGCUUGGUGUUGGGUGUUUGUUCCGCCUCUGUGUGUGAACUCGCCUCAAAACAAUUGGCAGCCGGCGUACUUGUUUCGGAGCGCAGCACAUUUUGCGAUCCAGAUCAACGUACAGCGGCAUCCAAGAAGCCUUAUUUAACGCUCUUGACCUCGGAUCAGGUAGGGAUACCCGCUGAACUUAAGCAUAUCAAUAAGCGGAGGA
Molecule: unclassified non-coding RNA, 339 nt
Filed under: soil metagenome
Description: partial contains 5.8S ribosomal RNA, internal transcribed spacer 2, and large subunit ribosomal RNA
Rfam family: 5.8S ribosomal RNA (bases 1-120)
Source: RNAcentral